RNAcentral lists this non-coding RNA (84 nucleotides) under Vibrio chagasii. Lineage: Bacteria; Pseudomonadati; Pseudomonadota; Gammaproteobacteria; Vibrionales; Vibrionaceae. The record is from RNAcentral. RNAcentral also lists the same sequence under 1 other name.
AAUUAUGGUGAGCUGGGUGAGAGCGCUUCGGCGCACCGUAUCCUGUUGGGCGGCAAGACCAAUCUCACUCAGUUCACCACCCAA